This is a non-coding RNA of Pelobates cultripes (western spadefoot toad), 314 nucleotides long. Lineage: Eukaryota; Metazoa; Chordata; Amphibia; Anura; Pelobatidae. The record is from the annotation of a GenBank genome assembly.
UGCAUUCCUCAGCAUCAAAGUAAAAACAGUUUUUACCCAGCCUAUUGACUAUACAUAGCAUAGUGCAAAAGAAAGGAGAAAACCCCUAUGAAUAUGCGGAAGCAAUUAAGGUUUUUGGAAGUUUUGAAGAUAUUACGAAUUAAUCAAUUAAGCCGUUCAUAGUGAAUACCUUAGUAAAUGGUUUGGAUGCUAAAGUAAAAAAACAAUUGAUGUUAUCCUUACUGGGAUGGCGGGAUAAAUCACUUAAUAUUGUAUUAAGUGCAGCAUCAGAAAUUUGACAAGCUAUUCAAAUCAAGGAAAAUGCAAAAGCUGAG